RNAcentral lists this long non-coding RNA (227 nucleotides) under Mytilus galloprovincialis (Mediterranean mussel). Lineage: Eukaryota; Metazoa; Mollusca; Bivalvia; Mytilida; Mytilidae. The record is from RNAcentral.
UAGUAAAAAGUUUAUUAAAGUAUAAAACAUCUAUCUGAGGAAAUAUAUACCGAUGAUCUACCGUUCAUUGUGUAAAUUGGUAUUACUAUACAAAUGUUCCGUCCCAGCCAUUUGUUCAUAGUUGUGUACAUCUAAAUUCUGACCGACUCCUUCAUAGAACGACAGUUGCUGUUGCUGUGUUGUGUUGACAUAAUCUGAUAACCUGUCAUCGUUCUUUCUAAUUAAAC